UACAGAGGGUGCGAGCGUUGUUCGGAAUUAUUGGGCGUAAAGGGCGCGUAGGCGGUGCGGCAAGUCACCUGUGAAACCUCUGGGCUUAACCCAGAGCCUGCAGGCGAAACUGCCGUGCUGGAGUGUGGGAGAGGUGCGUGGAAUUCCUGGUGUAGCGGUGAAAUGCGCAGAUAUCAGGAGGAACACCAAUUGCGAAGGCAGCUCGCUGGGACGUUACUGACGCUGAGACGCGAAAGCGUGGGGAGCAAACAGG
Molecule: ribosomal RNA, 253 nt
Filed under: uncultured bacterium
Lineage: Bacteria
Description: partial 16S ribosomal RNA
Rfam family: Bacterial small subunit ribosomal RNA
Source: RNAcentral